CUUGUUUGGGUCCCCCCCACCCCGGAGAGUCCUCGGUCCCAUUUUUCUCCAGUCCGGAGUGCGGAUGAAGCUUGAAGCCCUAAGACGCACGAUUCGAGUGGACCACAAUCAAGUUAGAGACGGUGCAUCUCUGGCAGCCAAUCAGCGUGGCCCUACAAUAUUGCCGGAAGACAGCGGGCUAAAUUGAAGUCAACACACAACUUGAACGGAAUUUGUGACUGUUUCGAAGUUAUAACAAGGAAUCGGUGUAACGAGCAAACAGGCCGUUAAUUUGGGCAAUGAAGCUGGCAAGCCAAAUACUGUACAAGAGAAAUUACACACAUUCUCGACAGUGUCAGCAUCAAACUCUCAUGACGGCGGCUGAGGUUAAAGUGCUUAUCAAUGGCUGCAAGAGGGAGAGAAACCAGCGUAGGAAACAAAGUGUGACCUGUGGAGACCAGGUGCUGGGCAAACAAGCGUGGUAAUUACACACCUGUGUGAUGCUGUAAGGGAAAAUGUGUGUGUGUGGAGCCCUCGUCGUGAGGACGGCAGGCAGUCCCUACAGACGUGAGCUCACCAUCAUGGGGACGAAGGGUGUGGCCAAGCCUGUGGCCCUGAUGUUGCCGUGGAGACAAGACACACACACACACACACACACGCACGCACACACACAGAUUGGCUUAGAGUGACACCGCAGGGAAAUUAAAACAGCAGCUCAAAGCCCCUAGGCGUUUCAUUGGCCAAUCAUUCUGGGUUUUGUUGACAAGUGUGGGUCUGUGUGUGUUUGUGUGUGUCCCCC
Molecule: long non-coding RNA, 778 nt
Organism: Phyllopteryx taeniolatus (common seadragon)
Lineage: Eukaryota; Metazoa; Chordata; Actinopteri; Syngnathiformes; Syngnathidae
Exons: 5
Source: RefSeq, a predicted model, not a curated record